RNAcentral lists this ribosomal RNA (464 nucleotides) under uncultured bacterium. RNAcentral's name for it is "bacterial SSU rRNA". It matches the Rfam family "Bacterial small subunit ribosomal RNA", at positions 43 to 524 of the family's 1533-position model. The record is from RNAcentral.
CAGGCCUAACACAUGCAAGUCGAACGAUGAUGCCCAGCUUGCUGGGUGGAUUAGUGGCGAACGGGUGAGUAACACGUGAGUAACCUGCCCUUGACUCUGGGAUAAGCGUUGGAAACGACGUCUAAUACUGGAUAGGACUGCCGGCCGCAUGGUCUGGUGGUGGAAAGAUUUUUUGGUUGGGGAUGGACUCGCGGCCUAUCAGCUUGUUGGUGGGGUAAUGGCUCAUCAAGGCGACGACGGGUAGCCGGCCUGAGAGGGUGACCGGCCACACUGGGACUGAGACACGGCCCAGACUCCUACGGGAGGCAGCAGUGGGGAAUAUUGCACAAUGGGCGAAAGCCUGAUGCAGCAACGCCGCGUGAGGGAUGACGGCCUUCGGGUUGUAAAGCUCUUUUACCCGGGAUGAUAAUGACAGUACCGGGAGAAUAAGCCCCGGCUAACUCCGUGCCAGCAGCCGCGGUAAU